RNAcentral lists this transfer RNA (73 nucleotides) under Dipodomys ordii (Ord's kangaroo rat). It matches the Rfam family "tRNA". From Rfam's summary of the family: Transfer RNA (tRNA) molecules are approximately 80 nucleotides in length. Their secondary structure includes four short double-helical elements and three loops (D, anti-codon, and T loops). Lineage: Eukaryota; Metazoa; Chordata; Mammalia; Rodentia; Heteromyidae. The record is from Rfam by way of RNAcentral.
GGGGAUUUAGCUCAGCGGAAGAGCACUUGCCUGUCAAGUAAGUGCAAGGCCCUGAGUUCGGUUCUCAGCUCUG